CGGUCACGUUCGUUGCCUAGAAAGUCGUGCCUGCGCGAUAUGUGCCCGUAGACAACAAAGGCAGAAGGAUCGACAAUUUUUAUCUGAAACGCAAUUAAGCAAACCGAUCACUCCUCGAACUAAGAACGGCCAUUCCCCCCCUAUUACACCAUCAUGAGAGGACUAGCCUAAUUUAUCGCCUGUAAAUCCUCAGUCGGUCCGGACCCGGGAAGUUUUCCCGCGGUGAACCUAAUUAAGCCACAUGCUCCACGCGUUCUUGUGGGGCCCUU
This 269-nucleotide ribosomal RNA is filed under the name Foraminifera environmental sample. RNAcentral describes it as "partial small subunit ribosomal RNA". The record is from RNAcentral. Lineage: Eukaryota; Foraminifera.